AAUAAGUAAAAGAUUAAACCACUACUAAGUCAAUAUAUAGCGUGAGCCCAAACUCAUUGGCAACAUGAUAAGUGUUGGGAAUCCGGUACUCGCCCCGGCCCCGGUACCGAAUCUCGUGAAUCCGCAACCCGCUCCGAUACUGACUGCUGUGGAUUCGGUACCGAUUGUUGGGAUUCGGCAACGGAAACAUCAAAUCGAGUUUUUACCAUAAACCUGUCUUCUCAGCAAAAACUGAUACAAUCAUAAAAGAGAAAAAAAUAUGCAGAUAAAAUAAAAUUCAUUAAAUAAGAGAAGAUUACACCUGACUCCUCUUCUGCACAGAGUAGCUACAACCCGAGCCCUCUUUCUGAAUCUCUUCUACCCUUCUCUCGUCUUCUAUAAAAUCCACAAAGAAGACCUCUCCACGUGCACCCGUGCACAAGGUGCACUAAAAUAACUCUCUCUCUCCUUUUCUGUCUCUGGUACGACACCCUAAUGGUUCCAGCGGUACUACCCUAAAAAAAAAGAGAGCCACAAUACCUAUUUAUAAUGCUCAACUUAAAACGUACCCCAAUCCUAAUAUAUUUAGGAUUCAUACUUUAAUUAAUAUCUAAAUAUAUCUUAAUCAAUCUCUAAUAGAUUUAAAUAUUAAUCCUAAUCUAGUUAGGUUUAUUUUCUAAUUAAUAUUUAAAUCAUGAUUUAUCUCCAACAAAUUUAAAUAUUAAUUCUAAUCCAAAUAGGAUUCAAUUACAAAUCUAACCAAAUCAUAACAAUCUCCACCUUGGUUGGAUUUGUAAUCUUCAACCGUCACGUCGAGCUCACUAUGCAAGCUCCACCUUGAGCUUGUCUCCUCCGCUCGAUGUCGCCGCAUCCGCCGGUCCGCCUCGAGCGACUGCACCUCCGCGAACUUUUGGAACCCAAAUCGUCUUUGCUUCCAUUCUGACUAUGCUCCCGUUCAGAACAUAUAAGUUCCUACGCUUGUUCGCCUCGCACACGACCCGAUCUGGUUUUCGGACCCUCAUAGCUCCACCUGAAGCCGAAAUAUCGCAACCCUUCGAGUCCAAUGCGCUUAACGAGAUCAAAUUUCGCUUCAAUCCAGGAACGUACCGCACACCUGUCAGCGUCCUCACGACCCCAUCGUGCAUUUGGAUCUUUAUCGUGCCGACUCUCAAUACUUUGCACGCUGUCCCGUUCCCUAUCAGUGCCUUUCCACCUUUGAUCGCCUUAUAGGUGGCAAAAGACUCCUUCUCCGGACAUACGUGAAAAGAACAUGCCGAAUCGAGCACCCACGCAUCGUCCGAAAUUUUCGCACCUCCGGUCGCCGCACACAGCACAUCAGAAUCAAUCAUCUUCGACUCUGCUGUCUGUGCCGUCGCUGAUAUCGCCUCGUCCUGGUUCACGACAGUUUGCUCCUUCUGUCGCUUUAACUCCUUCAGAUCAUCCUGAAGUUUUCGACAAUUGCGCUUGAUAUGUCCCUUCCUGUGACAGUAAAAGCAUUCUACCUCAGAUAGCGGUUUCUUCUGUUGAUAUCCGGUCGCCGAUAUUCUCGCCUCCUUCUUCGCAGUCACUACCAGCCCUACAUCCUGACUUUGCGUGCCGGACUCCUGAGUCAUCUUUCGCAUCUCGUUCGAGAGAAGCAUCGCCGUGACCGCCUCCACGGUUAUGGACUCCUUGCCAUAAAGCAACGUGGUCACCAGAUACUCAUAUGUCGUCGGUAACGAAGAUAGUAGGAUCAACGCCUUAUCUUCGUCAUCCAGAUUGACUCCGAUGCUGGUCAACUGGGCCACCACCUUGUUGAACUCAUUUAGAUGAUCAUGUAGGCUCGCCGCUUCUUGCAUCCGCAACGUAAACAGUCGCUGCUUCAGAUACAAUCUGUUCGUUAGGGAUUUGGUCAUGUACAGAUCUUCCAAUUUCUUCCACAAUUUCGCCGGUGUCGUCUCGUUGGCUACAUUAAAAAGAACCUCAUCUGCUAAUGAUAGAUGAAGCGUACUCAGCGCCUUCCGCUCCAUCUUUGUCCAUGCCGCAUUCGUGACCUCCGCCGACUUUGCUUCCUUCCCGUUCAACGUCUCGUCUAACUCUUGCUGUACGAGAAUUGCUCGUACUUUAAUUUGCCAUAAUCCGAAAUUGUUCUUGCCGUCGAACUUCUCGAUUUCGAAUUUCGUGGCCAUCUCCGUCGAUCUCUCCCGCAGAUCGGUAACCUUCGGCUCUGAUACCGCUUGUUGGGAAUCCGGUACUCGCCCCGGUACCGGAUCUCGUGAAUCCGCAAUCCGCUACGAUACCGACUGCUGUGGAUUCGGUACCGAUUGUUGGGAUUCCGCAACGGAAACAUCAAAUCGAAUUUUUACCAUAAACCCGUCUUCUCAGCAAAAGCUGAUACAAUCAUAAAAGAUAAAAAUAUGCAGGUAAAAUAAGGUUCAUUAAAUAAGAGAAGAUUACACUUGACUCAUCUUCUGCACAGAGUAGCUACAAUAGGGGUGGAACUGGGCCCGGGCCUAAACAAGGCCCGGCCCGAUGGGCCAUGUUUGGGCCGGGCUUUGGGUAUUAAAAAUACAACUUUGGGUUCGGGCCGGGUUUAAAAAUUUAGGCCCGAAAAAAUUUUGGGCCUAUUUGGGCAUGUCCAAGCCCGACCCGAGCCCGACCCAAAAGCCCGAUAUAUUAAUUAUCAAAAUAAAAUAUUUAAUUAUAUAUAUUAUUUAUCUAUUAAAAGAAAUAAAUGAUAUAGUAUAUCAUAUAUAGUAUAUAUUGUUAUUAAUGAUAUGUACUUAUAUAUAUGAGGAUAUAUUAUAUAUUAACAAAAUAUUUAGUUCUAUAUUAUGAUAUAUUUGAUCUUAGAUAUUAAUUUCUUUGAUGUGAUAAAACUAAAAAUAGGUAUUUUAUUUUAAUUUUAUACAAAUAAAAGUAUUCAUAUAUUAUAUGAUAAAUGCAUAAAAUGGGCCUCCACAAAGCCCGAUGGGUAUUGGGUAUUGGGCUUGGGCUUGGGUCGGGCCUUAAUUUUUUUAAAAAAUUGGAUAAAAGCCCGACCCGAAGCCCAACAUAUUUUUUUGGGCCGGGCUUGGGCAUAGUAAUACCCGACCCAAGCCCGGCCCAGUUCCACCCCUAAGCUACAACCCGAGCCCUCUUUCUGAAUCUCUUCUACCCUUCUCUCGUCUUCUAUAAAACCCACAAAGAAGACCUCUCCACGUGCACCCGUGCACAAGGUGCACUAAAAUAACUCUCUCUCUCUCUUUUUCUCUCUCU
Molecule: long non-coding RNA, 3216 nt
Filed under: Ananas comosus (pineapple)
Lineage: Eukaryota; Viridiplantae; Streptophyta; Magnoliopsida; Poales; Bromeliaceae
Description: long non-coding RNA (ACOM_LNC032283)
Source: RNAcentral